UCGGGUGGGUUGCCGAUGCACGUCGCUGACCCGGGGUGGCGGGCGGCUGUGAGAAAGCGUCGCCGAGCCGACUCACCAGAAACGGAACGGGCGCGGGCAGGGUUACCCCCGACAAGAACACGAACGUCGGCGAGGUGCGUGACGGCGAGGCCGGCCGGUCCUCUCCCGUCUCUCAUCGCGCGUGCGCCCSCAAGACGGUGGGGCGCCGAGGGAGCGACACGAGGUCGCCCGCACGCGACUUCCGGCGGGAUUAAAGACGGACCGGCUCGCCACGUGUAACGAUCACGUCAGGAUUUCCUCCUCCCCGGCAGAAGGGGGCAGUUACGUUCGCGGCCAGCGGCGGUGCCCCAGCGACACAAACGAA
RNAcentral lists this ribosomal RNA (364 nucleotides) under Euprymna sp. RNAcentral describes it as "partial 28S ribosomal RNA". Lineage: Eukaryota; Metazoa; Mollusca; Cephalopoda; Sepiida; Sepiolidae. The record is from RNAcentral.